This 495-nucleotide ribosomal RNA is filed under the name uncultured bacterium. Its description in RNAcentral is "partial 16S ribosomal RNA". It matches the Rfam family "Bacterial small subunit ribosomal RNA", at positions 29 to 507 of the family's 1533-position model. The record is from RNAcentral.
UACGAACGCUGGCGGCGUGCCUAAUACAUGCAAGUAGAACGCUGAAGGAGGAGCUUGCUUCUCUGGAUGAGUUGCGAACGGGUGAGUAACGCGUAGGUAACCUGCCUGGUAGCGGGGGAUAACUAUUGGAAACGAUAGCUAAUACCGCAUAAUAGUAGAUGUUGCAUGACAUUUGCUUAAAAGGUGCAAUUGCAUCACUACCAGAUGGACCUGCGUUGUAUUAGCUAGUUGGUGGGGUAACGGCUCACCAAGGCGACGAUACAUAGCCGACCUGAGAGGGUGAUCGGCCACACUGGGACUGAGACACGGCCCAGACUCCUACGGGAGGCAGCAGUAGGGAAUCUUCGGCAAUGGACGGAAGUCUGACCGAGCAACGCCGCGGGAGUGAAGAAGGGUGUCGGAUCGUAAAGCUCUGUUGUAAGAGAAGAACGAGUGUGAGAGUGGAAAGUUCACACUGUGACGGUAUCUUACCAGAAAGGGACGGCUAACUACGUG